Molecule: ribosomal RNA, 253 nt
Filed under: uncultured bacterium
Lineage: Bacteria
Description: partial 16S ribosomal RNA
Rfam family: Bacterial small subunit ribosomal RNA
Source: RNAcentral
UACGUAGGGGGCAAGCGUUGUCCGGAAUUACUGGGCGUAAAGGGCGCGUAGGCGGUUUGCUAAGUUGGAUGUGAAAACUCUGGGCUUAACCCAGAGCCUGCAUCCAAAACUAGCAAGCUAGAGUUCUGGAGGGGAUAGCGGAAUUCCUGGUGUAGCGGUGAAAUGCGUAGAUAUCAGGAGGAACACCGGUGGCGAAGGCGGCUAUCUGGACAGGAACUGACGCUGAGGCGCGAAAGCUAGGGGAGCAAACAGG